RNAcentral lists this ribosomal RNA (2157 nucleotides) under Triticum aestivum (bread wheat). RNAcentral describes it as "partial small subunit ribosomal RNA". The record is from RNAcentral. Lineage: Eukaryota; Viridiplantae; Streptophyta; Magnoliopsida; Poales; Poaceae.
AUGGAUGGUUUUCGAGAGUGUCUUGAUGCAUGUGAUUUCCACCACCUGGGUUUCCAGGGUGUUCCGUUCACGUGGGACAAUAUGCAGCAAGGUGACUCAAAUGUUAAAGUUCGCUUGGAUAGAUACAUGGCAAACCCAGCAAUGAUGGGCUUAUACCCAGGUUCUUUCGUCCGCCAUAUUCUAUCUCUAAAAUGUGAUCAUUGUAUGCUUGCGAUUAAGCUGAAGAGCUUAGUGCAAGAAGCGGGAGUACGCCGUCACCGCUUCAUGUAUGAAGAAGAAUGGCAAAGGGAGGAAACAUAUGAUGCCGCUGUUAUGCAUGGGUGGCGAACGGGCGCAGGAUUCGAAGGGCUGCAAGGCAUAAACAAUGCUCUAAUGAAUAUGCAAGUUCAGCUCACGGACUGGAAAUCAAAAAAGUUUGGGGAUGUGAAGAAGAAGAUAAAGAAGGUUCGGAAGGAGUAUGAAAAGGAGAGAGCGAAUUCUCUGUUCAGGGGUCCAACACGCAAAGAGAAAGACCUUUCUCGCCAACUGUCUGAGCUGCUUCACAAAGAGGAGUUGAUGGCUCGUCAGAGGUCAAGAGCUGACUGGCUCAAGGCAGGAGAUCGCAACACCGGCUUCUUCCAGGCGCGUGCUGCUGCACGCAAGAGUAGGAACAGAAUUUGUAGUCUACAGACUGCAGAUGGCUUAGUCUGUGAGACAAAGGAAGAUAUACAUGCAGAAGUACAACAGUUCUAUACGAACCUGUACACAGCUCAGGAACAUACCAAUGCUGAUGCAGUUCUUCACCAUGUGCCGCACCAAAUAACAGAGCCCAUGAACGAGCGAUUAGAGAUGCUCAAACAGGGACUCAUCCGGCGUGUGGGAGAUGGGACAACGACUGAGGUUUGGCAUGAUCAGUGGAUAGAAGGAAAAGCAUCGAUGAAGCCAAUGGGCCCCCGUGUUACAAACUCGGUUCAGUUGGUCUCAGACUUAAUUGAUCCUGUGUCAAACAGGUGGGACUCGGAACUUAUCCGAGAAGUGUUCUACCCCCCUGAUGUGGAUGCAAUCCUAUGCAUGCCUAGGCCUCGAAGAGCAGGGGCUGACAUAUGGGCAUGGGCGUGGGAGAAGUCUGGAAUUUUCUCUGUGCGCUCGGCGUACAGAGAAAGGAUGGAUACGAAAUUAAGGGAGACAAUAGUAGUUUCAACCUCUAAUGGAGACGAGGAGAGAUGGAGAUCAUUGUGGAAGAUUAAUGUGCUCCCAAAGAUUAGAGUUUUCUGGUGGCGAGUGGUCAAGGGUUUUCUGCCGUGUUAUGGCGAAUUGCAGCGCCGACAUAUCAGGACCUUACUACACUGUCCUAUGUGCGGGCAUGAUCAGGAAUCCUUAUUCCACAGUCUGCUAGAGUGCGAUCAUGCGAAGGCUUUCUGGGAGGCGGCAACUCGUUACUUUGACAUACAGCAGCCCAAACUGAAUCCAAGGACAUGGUCGCGAGAUAUGCUUGACCAUAAGCUCAUAAAACGUGAUGAUGCAGCGCUUAUGAUCACCUUGAUGUGGGCAAUUUGGCACUCAAGAAACAAGUAUACACAUGGCGAGAAGGAGUACCAACCGAUCCAGUCAAUGAUCAUCAUAGAGGAGAUUGUACGUGCCCUGGAGCUGCCACCAUAUGGGCAAGUUCAGAAUGAGAUUGUGCAAAAGUGGCAUGCACCAGAGGACGGCUGGAUCAAGAUUAACACAGAUGGGGCAACUGAUCCUGGAAGGAGUACAGGAGGGGCAGGUGUUCUCGCUAGAAACAACCAAGGGGCUUGUUUGAGAGCAGCCUGUUUCCGUUAUGAGGGUGUAACUGAUCCCCUGUCCACUGAGAUCUUGGCUUGCCGUGAUGCCAUAGGUAUGGCCCUAGACAUGGGACUUCAACGAGUGGUACUUGAGACUGACUGUCAACAGAUUCAGCACCUUUGGGAGUCGCCACAGAAGUCCGCUAGUUAUCACAUUCUGUGUGAAAUGAAGGAUAUGAGUAAUCUGCUUCAGGGAUUCAAGCUACGGUUUUCUAGUCGCUGUACUAAUAAAGCGGCUCACCGUUUAGCUAGGAAGGCUUUAGUUAUCCAUAAUUUUGUUGAAACUUUUGAUGUAAUCCCUGGCUGGCUGGCUGAGAUCGUUCAGUCAGACAUACUUGCGCCUGUUGAAUAA